AGAGGUCACUUGUAAGCGCGCAGAACACAGAGUCUCACCGAACAAAAUUAUUUGUGCUACUUCCCAGCGCUUCUUGUUCGUCACGACACACACCCUUUUAUGGCUUUCGGCCCCUUCCCCUCCAAGAUAGGCACGCGCCGCUGUCCCCCCCCCCCGAUUCGAAACCAACGGCAAAGCUGAAAAUCUGCCUUACGGACGCCAACGCCCCGCACUAGUGUGCGUGUGUGUCAGUAGGCUUGUCUCUUGUCAGAGAUGCAGGUUGUGGUGCAGGCAAGCAGCCUUGCUGCCGGCGAAUCCCGCCGUGGCACGUAUCAGACGGCCCUUAGCGAUGCGUGCUGCGCAGAAGAAGCCGAAAGUGAGACGGAGAGAAACUGGGGCUAUGGUGCCGACGGUAGCACCACCAGCGCGUCACACACCGGCUCGUCUUCUGCACCGAAGCAGGCCCCCGUAACGUCGAGUUUAGUCUUCCAGUAUUUCUCUCUGCUCGCCUCCUACCACGGAGCCGGGCACGUGCCGCGGUACUGGGCAGAUAUGCUUCGCCCGUCUUCGGUAGCAGGAGCCAAAGACGACGAUGCCAGCACCAGUGAACACGCUCGGGAGUGUGCGGACGAGCUCAUUUCCCCUGUGACGGAGAUCGACCUCAGCGUUUGCUACGUGGGGCCGACCAUGCUCCUGGCCCUUGCUGACCUGCUUCGCGUGCAAUGUGUGACCGUGCAGCGGGGUCGCAGUCAGCGAUGGCCAGUGGGCGGCAAGGAGGGUAUGGGCACGCUGCCUUCCGUGAUGGCACCACUCUGGGGUGCGGGCGCGCGUCGCUCGAGCAAGGGAGAGGAGGUGAUGUGCUCCUUGCUUCCGCACUUGACAACAUUGCGACUUAUGCACCUCGCAAUGGAUUUCACGGUGCCUGACGAUGCCACAGGAUCAAAAGGCGGAAACGCGGUGCUGCGCAGCAUGCUGGAGGCACUGCAGGGUCACCCCUCGCUGAAGAUGCUGGACCUCUCCGGCAACCCGGUGGCGGCGGCGCUGGUGCCGGCCAUUUCGCGGCUGGUGCAAGUGACGCCGUCUUUGACGACACUCAUGCUUGACGACACGCUCGUCACGGAUAGCGAGAAGGAGAUGCUGCGCGCACAGUGCUUGCUCAAUGAGCUGCGCCUACAGCGUGCGACAGCGGAUGGAGCGGCGGCGACAGUUUCCGACGACGCUUCCUCGACGACCUCGCCGGAGUCUGUCACACGAGGGCUGUGGGCGGCGCAGAUGUGUGAGAAUGUGCUCAUGGCUGUGGAGCGCGGCGUUUCCGCUGUGCCGUGGCUCCUUGGGAAGUCUACUGCUCUGAUACGUCGCUACGGUACGUCGAAGACGUCAGAAGUCGAGACAUCCGCUUUUGGAAGAAGUGCUCGUACCUCGCGCACCUCCGAUAUGACGGGCGGGCUCUCCCAGUUUGGCUCCAGCUCGGUGAGCCCGUCGUCCGCAACGGACGUGGCGCCGAGCUUAGAGAUAGCAUAUUUGAGCUACGACUACACAAGCGAGAGCUCGGCCGCUGCCGUGGCUACAGUGCCUCCGCCGGCGGGUGCAACGUGGAGUGCCGAGUGCACCGAGGUGGCGCGAUGCGCCUUCAUGUCUCGAUCGCUGGCGCAGCGCACCGUGCUGGGAGGGCGGCCGGUGUGGCCUAACGUCCCGAAACCGCUCGAAGCGGUGGUAUCGACGGAUCUGGCUCCGCCGUCGGCCGCUGCGGUGGCAGCCACGGAUCUUCUGCUUACUCUCCGUCAGCAAGUGCUUCCCGAGCCCGAGGCCCCGCCGGGACUGCGCCGCGGCUCAGCACGCGAUGACACCUUUCUCACCACUGCGGAGGAAGAGUACUGGUCAGUGCGGAAGAAGCAGGAGGUCCAAUGGGGGUAUGUGUUGCAGAAGGUCUCGGAAAACCUAACCCCGGUAUUCGUGCGCAAUGGGCACACCCUCUACGCGGAGGGCAGCGUGUGCGACAGUAUCUACCUUCUUCCCGUAUCGCUGCAGGAAACGCGCACCUACGCGGAGCUCCACGUCGGCGUGAAUCCGGGACAAGUGAACCGAGUUUUGCCGGGCCAGUGGGUCGGCGAAGCCGAGAUCCUCGACUGUCUCUCCAUCUACGCCAAGUAUCCGUCCUCCGCCACUGAUGGAAGCGCUGCAGUGCCCGGCUCGGAGACCGUCUUGCAGCGCAGUAGCACCGUGCGCGUCUUCACUGAAGCAACAGACGACGUCGUUCUCUGGGCACUACCCUUCCGCGUCGCCUUCUUCUACCUCUACGCUCCCUAUCAGCUGCUGCAUAAGCAGUUUGUCCACCGUACCCCGAUGAGCGCCUUCGCCCACAUCCACCCGGUUCACCUUGCCUGCGCCCCUGUGCACAUGCACGCAAGCCACGGCUCCUGCCCCGCCUCGGCGGGGCAGGGUCUCGACAGCGGUGCUGCGCCAGUUCUUUGCCGAUACGCGUUCAUGUCGCGCCAUGUCCUCUUACUGGAAGAGGGCGAGUUUCUGCUGCGUCUGCCGUCCCUGGCCAACCACGUGGGGCCUCGCAACGGUGGCCGCACCGCUGCAUCGACUAGAGUGGUGAUGGAGGAUCAUCACCUCCUAUCGGGUGUAACCGUGCUGACGCAGCCCCUCCUAGACCUUGACGCUGCGCUGCGAGUCACCGUCGCCGCCGAACUGGCCGCUGAGAAUGGCGGCGCCACUGUCACGUACGCCCGCGGACCCCAUGGAACGCUGGCCCUCGGCAAGCAGGCCGAGCUCUGUCGCUUCCGUGCAGCCAAGGUGGAGCGCACAGCGGCGAGCGCUACCGUUAGCUACAGUGGAGCCAGUGAGACUGCGGAAACGGUCGGCGACAGCGACGGAAACGCGGCGGUGCUUCGCCAAUGCCGCACUGGCGGUAAGGCGGCGCAGUGGCGCUACUCGGCCAUCACCAACGAGGAGUUCACCGCUCUCUGUCCUGCACUGCGUGUUGCACUCACUCGGCACAUCUGCGUGGUGCACGACCUUUGACAACUGCCGACGGUGUGCGCUGAGGCAAUUUGCGAAGCCAUCUGCUCUUCGGCACCACGUCACCACUUCUGUCAGGGGGAGCUGCACCCUAUCUUGGUUCGCCUUUUUUCUUGUUUGUCUUUUGUGUGUGGUCUUGAGCAUCAUGAGCGUGAUGUCGGAUGUAAAUUAGCCCUCAUCAGCUCACUGUUGUGAGGCAGAGCGUGUCUGCGGCAGUGUUCACGAUGGCAGCGGAAAAGGAAUAGAGUAACCCGACGGACAAGGGAAAGAGAGAAGCAGAAGGGGCGUGGUGGUGGGAGCUUCAUGGAAGUUCGGAAUGCAAGAGAGAUGCAUCUCGAGUAUCUGGAUGUGUGCCGCACGUUCGUGGCCCUUUGUCAAUCGUUGCGUUAUCUUCCCCCUGGUGUGCGGCGUGGUUCGGACGAAAAGCGCAUCACCGGACUCUCUGCGUGUGUGCGCCCAUGCGUGCAAUUGUGCCGCCGGGCCUAUCUGCAGCGAUACCGCGACGCCCAUCUGGCACACCACCUAGAGCAACCAUGAGCGCGUGGGCUUUUUACUCACUUGGCAUGCGCACAUGAGAGCCCACCGUGAUUGCCUCGC
RNAcentral lists this unclassified non-coding RNA (3600 nucleotides) under Leishmania donovani. RNAcentral's name for it is "gene:LdHU3.27.0890(CDS-product:hypothetical_prote in_conserved)". Lineage: Eukaryota; Euglenozoa; Kinetoplastea; Trypanosomatida; Trypanosomatidae. The record is from RNAcentral.